AUAAAAUCACAAAACAAAAGGAACAAAGAAAAGA
This 34-nucleotide non-coding RNA is filed under the name Trypanosoma vivax. The record is from RNAcentral. Lineage: Eukaryota; Euglenozoa; Kinetoplastea; Trypanosomatida; Trypanosomatidae.